Long non-coding RNA from Alosa sapidissima (American shad), 583 nucleotides. RefSeq lists it as uncharacterized. Lineage: Eukaryota; Metazoa; Chordata; Actinopteri; Clupeiformes; Clupeidae. The record is from RefSeq and is a predicted model, not a curated record. The transcript is spliced from 3 exons.
GUAACCCUUAGUGAUACUUAUUCACUGCACCACACCUUCCUCCAGGUGCCUCUGCCCUUGGAGUGCAUGUGUGAACCAAUUCAAUCAUAAGGGGGAAUCCAAGCCUUUACAAUGCCGUAGGACCUGAGAUGUCCAGCCCAAGAGUGCCAGAUGCACACCCCCUCAGGCCCCUCCUCAGGCCCCUCUUCAGGCAUGUGUGCCAUGCUUCAGAACAUGCCCGAGGCAGCACUUGGUGGGAUUAUUCUGGAAACUCGGCCCCUGGGAUUGUGUUACCAAAAUGAGACGGUCAAAUGCAGUGAAAUGGCCUGAGUGACAAGGGCUGCUGUUAGUCUACCCCUGAUGUUUCCUUACUGAUAUGUUAUUCAUUGUUGAUGUUUGUAACUCUUGUCACAAUUAAUGGUGGAAUAAUCAUUUCCUAUCCUGUAGUCAUAUUCAGAGAAUUGAUCACAGUCUUCAAGCGGUCCAUGUGUUUUUACACAGUCCUGGCUCUGUAAAUGGGAAAGAAAUAUGGUGGCUCAGACCAUGCCUUAAGAGCCAUGAACAAUCUCAACCAAUCAACACACAUGCCUCAAGAGCACGCAAG